AGUGAACGCUGGCGGUAGGCCUAACACAUGCAAGUCGAACGGCAGCACAGGAGAGCUUGCUCUCUGGGUGGCAAGUGGCGGACGGGUGAGGAAUACAUCGGAAUCUACUCUGUCGUGGGGGAUAACGUAGGGAAACUUACGCUAAUACCGCAUACGACCUACGGGUGAAAGCAGGGGAUCUUCGGACCUUGCGCGAUUGAAUGAGCCGAUGUCGGAUUAGCUAGUUGGCGGGGUAAAGGCCCACCAAGGCGACGAUCCGUAGCUGGUCUGAGAGGAUGAUCAGCCACACUGGUACUGAGACACGGUCCAGACUCCUACGGGAGGCAGCAGUGGGGAAUAUUGGACAAUGGGCGCAAGCCUGAUCCAGCCAUACCGCGUGGGUGAAGAAGGCCUUCGGGUUGUAAAGCCCUUUUGUUGGGAAAGAAAUCCAGCUGGUUAAUACCCGGUUGGGAUGACGGUACCCAAAGAAUAAGCACCGGCUAACUACGUGCCAGCAGCCGCGGUAA
This 506-nucleotide ribosomal RNA is filed under the name uncultured bacterium. Its description in RNAcentral is "partial 16S ribosomal RNA". It matches the Rfam family "Bacterial small subunit ribosomal RNA", at positions 29 to 523 of the family's 1533-position model. The record is from RNAcentral.